This 253-nucleotide ribosomal RNA is filed under the name uncultured bacterium. RNAcentral's name for it is "partial 16S ribosomal RNA". It matches the Rfam family "Bacterial small subunit ribosomal RNA", at positions 524 to 776 of the family's 1533-position model. The record is from RNAcentral.
UACGUAGGGUGCGAGCGUUGUCCGGAAUUACUGGGCGUAAAGAGCUCGUAGGUGGUUUGUCGCGUUGGUCGUGAAAUCUCACGGCUUAACUGUGAGCGUGCGGGCGAUACGGGCAGACUAGAGUACUGCAGGGGAGACUGGAAUUCCUGGUGUAGCGGUGGAAUGCGCAGAUAUCAGGAGGAACACCGGUGGCGAAGGCGGUUCUCUGGGCCUUACCUGACGCUGAGGAGCGAAAGCGUGGGGAGCGAACAGG